RNAcentral lists this ribosomal RNA (492 nucleotides) under uncultured bacterium. RNAcentral describes it as "partial 16S ribosomal RNA". It matches the Rfam family "Bacterial small subunit ribosomal RNA", at positions 28 to 506 of the family's 1533-position model. The record is from RNAcentral.
GACGAACGCUGGCGGCGUGCUUAACACAUGCAAGUCGAACGGUGAAGGGACCGGUUUUUGCUGGUUCUGGAUGAGUGGCGAACGGGUGAGUAACACGUGAGUAACCUGCCCCCUUCUUCUGGAUAACCGCAUGAAAGUGUGGCUAAUACGGGAUAUUCUGCGCCUGCUGCAUGGUGGGUGUGGGAAAGAUAUUGUUUCGGUGGGGGAUGGGCUCGCGGCCUAUCAGCUUGUUGGUGGGGUGAUGGCCUACCAAGGCGGUGACGGGUAGCCGGCCUGAGAGGGUGGACGGUCACACUGGGACUGAGACACGGCCCAGACUCCUACGGGAGGCAGCAGUGGGGAAUAUUGCACAAUGGGCGCAAGCCUGAUGCAGCGACGCCGCGUGAGGGAUGGAGGCCUUCGGGUUGUAAACCUCUUUCGCCAGCGAAGCAGGCCUGUCCCUUUUGUGGGUGGGUUGACGGUAGCUGGAUAAGAAGCGCCGGCUAACUACGU